GUGGGGAAUAUUGGACAAUGGGCGCAAGCCUGAUCCAGCCAUACCGCGUGGGUGAAGAAGGCCUUCGGGUUGUAAAGCCCUUUUGUUGGGAAAGAAAUCCUGUCGGUUAAUACCUGGCGGGGAUGACGGUACCCAAAGAAUAAGCACCGGCUAACUUCGUGCCAGCAGCCGCGGUAAUACGAAGGGUGCAAGCGUUACUCGGAAUUACUGGGCGUAAAGCGUGCGUAGGUGGUGGUUUAAGUCCGUUGUGAAAGCCAUGGGCUCAACCUGGGAAUUGAAGUGGAUACUGGAUCACUAGAGUGUGGUAGAGAGAUGCGGAAUUUCUGGUGUAGCAGUGAAAUGCGUCGAGAUCAGAAGGAACAUCCGUGGCGAAGGCGGCAUCCUGGGCCAACACUGACACUGAGGCACGAAAGCGUGGGGAGCAAACAGGAUUAGAUACCCCAGUAGUCC
Molecule: ribosomal RNA, 450 nt
Filed under: uncultured bacterium
Lineage: Bacteria
Description: partial 16S ribosomal RNA
Rfam family: Bacterial small subunit ribosomal RNA
Source: RNAcentral